RNAcentral lists this ribosomal RNA (256 nucleotides) under uncultured bacterium. RNAcentral's name for it is "partial 16S ribosomal RNA". It matches the Rfam family "Bacterial small subunit ribosomal RNA", at positions 524 to 776 of the family's 1533-position model. The record is from RNAcentral.
CACGUAGGGUGCGAGCGUUGUCCGGAAUUAUUGGGCGUAAAGAGCUCGUAGGCGGCUUGUCACGUCGAUUGUGAAAGCCCCGAGGCUUAACCUCGGGUCUGCAGUCGAUACGGGCUAGCUAGAGUGUGGUAGGGGGAGAUCGGAAUUCCUGGUGUAGCGGUGAAAUGCGUAGAGAUGUGGAGGAACACCGAUGGCGAAGGCAGCCCCCCUGGGGUAACACUGACGCUCAUGCACGAAAGCGUGGGGGAGAAACAGG